Molecule: ribosomal RNA, 449 nt
Filed under: uncultured bacterium
Lineage: Bacteria
Description: partial 16S ribosomal RNA
Rfam family: Bacterial small subunit ribosomal RNA
Source: RNAcentral
AACGAACGCUGGCGGCAUGCCUAACACGUGCAAGUCGAACGAGAUCUUCGGGUCUAGUGGCGCACGGGUGCGUAACGCGUGGGAAUCUGCCCUUUGGUUCGGAAUAACAGUUGGAAACGACUGCUAAUACCGGAUGAUGACGAAAGUCCAAAGAUUUAUCGCCAGAGGAUGAGCCCGCGUAGGAUUAGCUAGUUGGUGUGGUAAAGGCGCACCAAGGCGACGAUCCUUAGCUGGUCUGAGAGGAUGAUCAGCCACACUGGGACUGAGACAUGGCCCAGACUCCUACGGGAGGCAGCAGUGGGGAAUAUUGGACCAUGGGCGAAAGCCUGAUCCAGCAAUGCCGCGUGAGUGAUGAAGGCCUUAGGGUUGUAAAGCUCUUUUACCCGGGAUGAUAAUGACAGUACCGGGAGAAUAAGCUCCGGCUAACUCCGUGCCAGCCGCCGCCGUAA